UGGGGAAUUUUGGACAAUGGGCGAAAGCCUGAUCCAGCCAUGCCGCGUGAGUGAAGAAGGCCUUCGGGUUGUAAAGCUCUUUUAGUCGGAAAGAAAGAGUUGCAAUGAAUAAUUGUGAUUUAUGACGGUACCGACAGAAAAAGCACCGGCUAACUACGUGCCAGCAGCCGCGGUAAUACGUAGGGUGCGAGCGUUAAUCGGAAUUACUGGGCGUAAAGGGUGCGCAGGCGGUCUUGCAAGUCAGAUGUGAAAGCCCCGGGCUUAACCUGGGAAUUGCGUUUGAAACUACAAGGCUAGAGUGCAGCAGAGGGGAGUGGAAUUCCAUGUGUAGCAGUGAAAUGCGUAGAGAUGUGGAAGAACACCGAUGGCGAAGGCAGCUCCCUGGGUUGACACUGACGCUCAUGCACGAAAGCGUGGGGAUCAAACA
This 427-nucleotide ribosomal RNA is filed under the name uncultured beta proteobacterium. Its description in RNAcentral is "bacterial SSU rRNA". It matches the Rfam family "Bacterial small subunit ribosomal RNA", at positions 355 to 774 of the family's 1533-position model. The record is from RNAcentral. Lineage: Bacteria; Pseudomonadati; Pseudomonadota; Betaproteobacteria.